RNAcentral lists this ribosomal RNA (465 nucleotides) under uncultured bacterium. RNAcentral's name for it is "bacterial SSU rRNA". It matches the Rfam family "Bacterial small subunit ribosomal RNA", at positions 338 to 795 of the family's 1533-position model. The record is from RNAcentral.
CCUANGGGAGGCAGCAGUGGGGAAUAUUGGACAAUGGGCGCAAGCCUGAUCCAGCAAUGCCGCGUGUGUGAAGAAGGCCUGCGGGUUGUAAAGCACUUUCAGUAGGGAGGAAGGACUUAGUCAUAAUACGGCUAAGUAUUGACGUUACCUACAGAAGAAGCACCGGCUAACUCUGUGCCAGCAGCCGCGGUAAUACAGAGGGUGCGAGCGUUAAUCGGAAUUACUGGGCGUAAAGGGUGCGUAGGUGGUUUAAUAAGUCAGAUGUGAAAUCCCCGGGCUCAACCUGGGAACUGCAUUUGAAACUAUUAGGCUAGAGUACGGUAGAGGGAAGUGGAAUUUCCGGUGUAGCGGUGAAAUGCGUAGAUAUCGGAAGGAACAUCAGUGGCGAAGGCGACUUCCUGGACCGCAACUGACACUGAGGCACGAAAGCGUGGGGAGCAAACAGGAUUAGAUACCCUUNUANUC